CGCGUAGGCGGUUGUGUAAGUCAGAUGUGAAAUCCUCCGGCUCAACUGGAGAACUGCAUUUGAUACUGCAUGACUCGAGUACAGGAGAGGGAAACGGAAUUCCCGGUGUAGAGGUGAAAUUCGUAGAUAUCGGGAGGAACACCGGUGGCGAAGGCGGUUUCCUGGCCUGAUACUGACGCUGAGGCGCGAAAGCGUGGGUAGCAAACAGGAUUAGAUACCCUGGUAGUCCACGCCGUAAACGGUGAGUGCUGGGUGUGGGAGGUGUAAUGCCUUCUGUGCCGAAGCUAACGCGUUAAGCACUCCGCCUGGGGAGUACGGCCGCAAGGUUGAA
RNAcentral lists this ribosomal RNA (331 nucleotides) under uncultured bacterium. RNAcentral's name for it is "bacterial SSU rRNA". It matches the Rfam family "Bacterial small subunit ribosomal RNA", at positions 568 to 898 of the family's 1533-position model. The record is from RNAcentral.